RNAcentral lists this ribosomal RNA (500 nucleotides) under uncultured bacterium. Its description in RNAcentral is "bacterial SSU rRNA". It matches the Rfam family "Bacterial small subunit ribosomal RNA", at positions 8 to 507 of the family's 1533-position model. The record is from RNAcentral.
AGAGUUUGAUCCUGGCUCAGGAUGAACGCUAGCGGGAGGCCUAACACAUGCAAGCCGAGCGGUAGAGAUUCUUCGGAAUCUUGAGAGCGGCGUACGGGUGCGGAACACGUGUGCAACCUACCUUUAUCUGGAGGAUAGCCUUUCGAAAGGAAGAUUUAAUACUCCAUAAUAUAUUUGAUGGCAUCAUUAAAUAUUGAAAGCUCCGGCGGAUAGAGAUGGGCACGCGCAAGAUUAGCUAGUUGGUGAGGUAACGGCUCACCAAGGCAAUGAUCUUUAGGGGGCCUGAGAGGGUGAUCCCCCACACUGGUACUGAGACACGGACCAGACUCCUACGGGAGGCAGCAGUGAGGAAUAUUGGUCAAUGGGUGCAAGCCUGAACCAGCCAUCCCGCGUGAAGGACGACUGCCCUAUGGGUUGUAAACUUCUUUUGUAUAGGGAUAAACCUACUCUCGUGAGAGUAGCUGAAGGUACUAUACGAAUAAGCACCGGCUAACUCCGUG